RNAcentral lists this transfer RNA (73 nucleotides) under Stegodyphus mimosarum. It matches the Rfam family "tRNA". From Rfam's summary of the family: Transfer RNA (tRNA) molecules are approximately 80 nucleotides in length. Lineage: Eukaryota; Metazoa; Arthropoda; Arachnida; Araneae; Eresidae. The record is from Rfam by way of RNAcentral.
GCCUUCGUGGUGUAAUAGCUAGCAUGCUCGGCUCUUAUUCGAGAGGUCCGUGGUUCGAGUCCCGGCGAGGACA